This 555-nucleotide ribosomal RNA is filed under the name Bifidobacterium adolescentis. RNAcentral describes it as "bacterial SSU rRNA". It matches the Rfam family "Bacterial small subunit ribosomal RNA", at positions 146 to 711 of the family's 1533-position model. The record is from RNAcentral. Lineage: Bacteria; Bacillati; Actinomycetota; Actinomycetes; Bifidobacteriales; Bifidobacteriaceae.
UCUCCUGGAAAAGGGUGGUAAUGCCGGAUGCUCCGACAUGACGCAUGUCGUGUCGGGAAAGAUUCUAUCGGUAUGGGAUGGGGUCGCGUCCUAUCAGCUUGAUGGCGGGGUAACGGCCCACCAUGGCUUCGACGGGUAGCCGGCCUGAGAGGGCGACCGGCCACAUUGGGACUGAGAUACGGCCCAGACUCCUACGGGAGGCAGCAGUGGGGAAUAUUGCACAAUGGGCGCAAGCCUGAUGCAGCGACGCCGCGUGCGGGAUGACGGCCUUCGGGUUGUAAACCGCUUUUGACUGGGAGCAAGCCCUUCGGGGUGAGUGUACCUUUCGAAUAAGCACCGGCUAACUACGUGCCAGCAGCCGCGGUAAUACGUAGGGUGCAAGCGUUAUCCGGAAUUAUUGGGCGUAAAGGGCUCGUAGGCGGUUCGUCGCGUCCGGUGUGAAAGUCCAUCGCUUAACGGUGGAUCCGCGCCGGGUACGGGCGGGCUUGAGUGCGGUAGGGGAGACUGGAAUUCCCGGUGUAACGGUGGAAUGUGUAGAUAUCGGAAAGAACACCA